AUAUUAAGAGAAAGGAGACGAAAAACAGAGCUCCGCUUUAAAAAAGGAUUACGACGUAGAAAAAGACACAACACUCAAGAUUGUCAUGGGUCUUUAAGAAAAGGAAAUUUGAGACGGCUAAAACGCAGAACAGUGUGGAGUUUGGGGAAGAGAUGUGGCUAAAGACAGCGUAUUUGCUUCCUGAAUGAUGGUCCCACUCAGCCAUCCACCUAUACUUUCUACAAAGUCAAUUUAUACUGAUUCUUCAGAUCAGUUAAUCACCGCCCGCCUUGGGAUGUUUCUUACAUCCCAAGAAACAGAGAAUAUUUUGAUGGGAUCGCUGAUGUUUCAGACUGCAAAAGCAGCUCAGGGCGUUUGCAGUCGUGCAAGUCAACAAGAUAACCCUCUGGACCGGAAGCUGGGCUCCUCCCGGUCUCCUAACUCCAAAUCCAACACCAAGCUUCUGCAGCUGCCACCUCCCGUAGACUUCGCAUUUCUUCCGCACUCUCCUCUCACGACGGGUCUUCUUUGUUGUACUUGAUUUCCUACGCAAUAAGAUUUCAGCAUCACCAUCAGUCCCCCAAAGGCUAAUUCCCACACAGCCGAAGUUCCCACCAAGGGCCGUGGGUUAAGGUUACUAAAAUCAGCGUUUCUGAAU
RNAcentral lists this long non-coding RNA (637 nucleotides) under Pongo abelii (Sumatran orangutan). Its description in RNAcentral is "lincRNA". Lineage: Eukaryota; Metazoa; Chordata; Mammalia; Primates; Hominidae. The record is from RNAcentral.